GUGCCGGUGGCUUCUGGUGGAGCGGGUCGCAACCUGCGAUCAAAUAUAGCGAAAACGUGGUCGUAGCUGAAACACGGGUUCGAAUCCCGUCCGGCGGCU
RNAcentral lists this transfer RNA (99 nucleotides) under Terriglobia bacterium. Its description in RNAcentral is "tRNA-OTHER". The record is from RNAcentral. Lineage: Bacteria; Pseudomonadati; Acidobacteriota; Terriglobia.